Chrysemys picta bellii (western painted turtle) is the source of this 4418-nucleotide long non-coding RNA. RefSeq lists it as uncharacterized. The record is from RefSeq and is a predicted model, not a curated record. NCBI's taxonomy places the organism in Eukaryota, Metazoa, Chordata, Testudines, Emydidae.
AAAAAAAAAUUGCUCCCCCUCUGCGAUCUAUCCACAUGUGUGUGGUGGGGGAGGGGUUCUCUCCCUUUUGGGUAACUUAAACGUCUAUCGCUACCUUCAGUUUUUUUCUAUUAUUAUUUAACUAGGAGUUGGCAGGGCCAGGAGAGAGAUCAUUGGAUAUGCCAAAACCUGCAUCUACCUCGAUCCUGCUAACGUUGUUCACAAGACCCCAAAUUCUCCCACCGAAAUAGAAAACACGCCUAACCACUUCCACUGUCUCUCCCCCCCCCCUCGAAAAUAUCCCAGCCCCUCCAACACAUUCCCACGCAACUGCCCCCCGCCCCAACUCCGAUUCUGGCACCUGGAUCCUACUCAGUUUUGGCCCCACACCCUCCAAAUGGUAACGCUAAAGAACAAGUGUAGACGCUCCUCUUACACAAAAAAAACAAACAAAAAACCCACCUGGAUCCCAAUGCAUCCCACAGCGCCAGCGGCAUAAAUACGCAGAUGUGGGCCUAGGACCGGGCACUGUCAGUGUUUGGUCCUAGUCCCCCCAAAUGCGACCGCCCAAAGAGCAAGCAAGCAAUAGCGGUUCCUGCUGUACCUUGACUAUCCAGCCGAGGAUGAACCGCACCUCAGAUCCGGCAUGUGGAUCGUGCUGUAUUUUUGGCCACAGACCCACAAAGGCUACUAUCAGAACACAGAAUAAGCCAUGAUUCUACCAGUCUCCCCCGAGUAUCCCCCUGGCCCCAGCCCAUCCUCCUAACAGAGACAUGCAAACACUAAUUUGACACCUGUAUCUUGCUGGAUUCCGCUGAUAUUUGGCGGCAUACAUCACACCCAUUUUCCCGUCUACACGUAGUUCUGGCAGACUGGCAUUUUGCAGCUUGGGGCCAAAAACGGUAAGGAUCCAGUCUCGGGGGCGGAAUUGACCUGCUCUUACCGCCCUCUUGUUCCAGGAUGCAUGGCGGGUGGUGUUUUGCUCUUUGUUUAGGCAUUAUAAAUUGGGGGUCAAAGCCAAAAUUGGCACGAUCCAGCGUUUAACAGCACUGUUGGAGGAGUGCAUCGAGGCUGGGUGUUAUGGGGAGCAGCAGGAGCGGCUCGAUUCGGUCUCUAUUAUGAUGGUACAAUUUGAGGUCUUGGGUACAAAGAAUUGGCAGGAUCCAUGUUUUACCCAGCCGCCUUCGGGGCGCUCUCCUCCAGUGAGGUUUGAAGGUGGGGGACCCGGUGAAACCGACAGUGUCCGAAAAUCCCCAGGCGAGACCCAUCUUCUCUAAAAGUUCAAGGUGUCACUGAUGAGCUCGGCAAACUGUUGAUCCCGACCACGUGUAGCAGCCAGAGAAGCCGAACGGGGGAUUGCAAGAUGCUUGUAUUCAAAUGUUUGAAGAAAAGCACCACGUUAUUGUAACUGAAUAAUCAUCUAAGAAGAAACUCCAGGAGUGCUGAUCACUUAUCGUGGGAACCAUCUGGUUUCUUCCUAUAGUGAUCAAGAGCUAGUCAUUGAACAAAGUGGAACAUGCAGCAUUUCACUCUAUCAGGAAAAUACAUCGGACUCAACCUGAGGCCACUGAAAUGCUGAAUGCUGCAGGCACAGAAGAGAGAUAUUUAGCUUCAGAAUUCUGCCUUGAGAUUGCUGAGCUGCUCUGCUAUGGAAGAGCAUAUUCUCUGGUGACUCUUCUCCCGCCUCCCAGCUGCAAACCUUCUGGAAAUCAAAGGAGAUGCAGAGCACCGACAACACCAGAAACAGAUACUGUGUGAGCAGUGGCAACGCACAUUUUCCCCAUGCUACUCCAUCACUAUGUUUCAACCCUUGCCAGAGAGACCACCACUAGGGGGCGAGUGGCCCAGUUUUCAAGCCCAUUCAAUCUUCAGCCGCUCAGCUCAGAUUGCCGGUGAGGGUGAAAAUUGUGGUGAUGUUUUGUGGACAGCUGGACUGAAAUGACCAAAUUAAUUUCACAUGGGCUAUCUAACUGCCAUCACAUCAAAUGCUAUCCAUUGGCUGUCACUAAAGACUGAAAUCAAUAGGAGUCUUUUCACUGAUUUCAAUGGACUUUGAAUCAGACUGUAAGUUAUAAACCAGGUUCCGACACUGCAAUACAUACUCAUAUGAGUAACUUUAAUUCCCUGAGACUACUUGCAUACAGAAAGGUACUUACAUAGUAUGUACUUGCAGGAUCAAUCCCCUAGGCAGGAUUUGAAUGAGGCAUAAUGUGCCAUUAAUUUUUAGUCAGAAUUGAUUAAUGGGAAGCCUGUGAUGGGGAUUCUGAUUAAAAAAUAAUAGUAACAAAAAAAUCAAUGGCACAGUAUGCUCUAUGUUUGGAGAUUUAAAGGGAAAAAGCUAACAGACGAGACAAAGUCAAGUAUUGGCUGCUGCACUUCUAUACAGUGCCAUAGGUGUGCCUGGUGCUUUUCACUGAGAAUUAAGAUGUGGUCCCUCUCUCAGUCUAAACUGAGAAUGACAAAACAGGAUGCUGGCAAGGUGGAGGAAAGAACAGAGAAAGUUAUGCAGUUUCUUGGUUGGCACAAUAUACAUCAGAUUUUAAUUUAACAUUUAUAUUGCGGUGGUGUCCAGAGGACCCAGUUGGGAUUUUGGCCUUAUUCUAUGACAUGCUGAACCAGGACUGCCAGCCUCAAAAAAUCAAAAAUCAUGAGUCAGAACCCACCCAUCAUGAAAUUAAAAAAAACAUCAAAUCAUGUUUUUAGUCUGUUUUUGACUUUUAAAAUUCUCCCUACUCCUUUGCCAAUGUGGGUAUGAUAAUUUCAGGUUAAAAAUAUCAACUUUUAACGUACACAGAAGUUAAUGCUUCUCCCCUUUGCUCAUAUGGAGACUCAACUUACCCUCUCCUUGCCCCUAAAAUAGGAGAACUGCCAUCCAUGUCCCAUUACUGUCUUGACUCCCACCCCUCCUAGUUUAUUUCCUUUGAUAAGAGAAGAGCUGGAUGAUAAACAGUUUGAGAACCACUGGCCUAAUUAAUGCAUCAUGGAUUCACACUUGCAUAUAGAAUUGAUAUUACUUUUUGGGGUUGAUGAGUUACAGAUAUACAUGUUACAGAACUUUAAACUUAUAUCAAUAGUUCAUAUCAACAAUAAUGUCACGGUAAAAACAAUAAGGGAUUAGUUUAGUCUUUUGCAAGAAACAACACUUCACUCACUCUCUUCUCCUGCCUUCCCAACUGGGCAGCACUCCUUCGCCUUACCCCUGAGCUGUCUCCCUCUGCUCCCCUUCCCUUCUGCCCCCACAACCUUCAGCACCCCAUUCUUCUGCAACCCUUAAAUAUGCCUCCUGCUUCCCACAAUGCCUGGCUUCCCCUGCUCUCCCCAUCCAUCUUUCACAGUAACUCUGCUGCACCUAACAGUCCCUGUGUUCAGUCUAGUCCCCUGAAUGACUGUCAGCAUGUUGCCCAUGGGCAUGGCUUCAACCUAAUUGAAAAUAGUGGGAAAUGGCAGCCUCACUUCCACACAUAAUGAUACUGGAGGGAAAUGAUGGCCAUCUUGAUGGUGUCAGCCCCUUGACUGUAAAUGGAGAUGGUGGCCAUUUUAAAGAAGGGAAAAUUCAUGAUUUGGUGCCUUUCAUUGUGUUUUGAUGAGAUAAGUAAAAAACCACACCCCGAAAUCCCUAGAGUUGUGAGAAAAUGGUGAGAGUUGGCAAUAGGGUGUGCACACACACAGGACAACACAGACCUUUGCCCCAAAAUGUUCCUCUUUAUUUAAAAGAAACAAUGAAGAAUCCGGUGGCACCUUAAAGACUAACGGAUUUAUUUGGGCAUAAGCUUUCGUGGGUAAAAAAACCCCACUUCUUCAGAUGCAUGGAGCGAAAAUUACAGAUACAGGCAUAAAUAUACUGGUACAUGAAGAGAAGGGAGUUACCUUACAAGUGGAGAACCAAUGUAGAAAGCCAAUUCAGUCAGCGUGGAUGUGGUCUACUCCCAAUAAUUGAUGAGGAGGUGUCAAUAUCAAGAGAAUACCAGUGUGUCAAUACCUCUGUAUUUUAUAACUGCUGUAGAGGGUUAAAAUUAGGGUUGCCAUCUCCGAGGUACAAAAAACAGGACAUCUGAGAUGAUCCUGAGCCCAUAGAACUGGACAACUGGCACGGUGUAUUGAGCACCCUUACUGAUUUCCCAGGACAGCUACCUCAAAAAAGGGACACUCCUGGGAAAACCUGGAGAGGUGGCCACCCUAGUUAAAAUCUCAUACACUUCAUCUCCUUCCCACUAGCACUCACUAUAUAUAAUCUGUAUAGCCCAUGAUUACUAGUAAUAAUACCUAGCACUUACAUAGACCUUUAAUCUUCGAGGCACUUUACAAAGAUUAGCAAAUUAAUCCAUAAAAUGAAAAAGCUGUCAAACUGUUGUUGAACUGCAUUCUUUUAAUGGCAGGGCUGGCUCUAGGCACCAGCAAACCAAGCAUGUGCUUGGGGCAGCACAUUUUCAGGGGCGGCA